This 460-nucleotide ribosomal RNA is filed under the name uncultured bacterium. Its description in RNAcentral is "partial 16S ribosomal RNA". It matches the Rfam family "Bacterial small subunit ribosomal RNA", at positions 338 to 795 of the family's 1533-position model. The record is from RNAcentral.
CCUACGGGUGGCAGCAGUGAGGAAUAUUGGUCAAUGGACGCAAGUCUGAACCAGCCAUGCCGCGUGCAGGAAGACGGCUCUAUGAGUUGUAAACUGCUUUUGUACGAGGGUAAACGCAGAUACGCGUAUCUGUCUGAAAGUAUCGUACGAAUAAGGAUCGGCUAACUCCGUGCCAGCAGCCGCGGUAAUACGGAGGAUUCAAGCGUUAUCCGGAUUUAUUGGGUUUAAAGGGUGCGUAGGCGGUCGGAUAAGUUAGAGGUGAAAUCUCGGGGCUCAACUUCGGAAUUGCCUCUGAUACUGUUCGUCUAGAGAAUAGUUGCGGUAGGCGGAAUGUAUGGUGUAGCGGUGAAAUGCUUAGAGAUCAUACAGAACACCGAUUGCGAAGGCAGCUUACCAAGCUACUUCUGACGUUGAGGCACGAAAGCGUGGGGAGCAAACAGGAUUAGAUACCCGAGUAGUC